Molecule: ribosomal RNA, 1328 nt
Filed under: Microbacterium sp.
Lineage: Bacteria; Bacillati; Actinomycetota; Actinomycetes; Micrococcales; Microbacteriaceae
Description: bacterial SSU rRNA
Rfam family: Bacterial small subunit ribosomal RNA
Source: RNAcentral
UGGAUCAGUGGCGAACGGGUGAGUAACACGUGAGCAACCUGCCCCUGACUCUGGGAUAAGCGCUGGAAACGGCGUCUAAUACUGGAUACGAGACGUGACCGCAUGGUCAACGUUUGGAAAGAUUUUUCGGUUGGGGAUGGGCUCGCGGCCUAUCAGCUUGUUGGUGAGGUAAUGGCUCACCAAGGCGUCGACGGGUAGCCGGCCUGAGAGGGUGACCGGCCACACUGGGACUGAGACACGGCCCAGACUCCUACGGGAGGCAGCAGUGGGGAAUAUUGCACAAUGGGCGGAAGCCUGAUGCAGCAACGCCGCGUGAGGGAUGACGGCCUUCGGGUUGUAAACCUCUUUUAGCAGGGAAGAAGCGAAAGUGACGGUACCUGCAGAAAAAGCGCCGGCUAACUACGUGCCAGCAGCCGCGGUAAUACGUAGGGCGCAAGCGUUAUCCGGAAUUAUUGGGCGUAAAGAGCUCGUAGGCGGUUUGUCGCGUCUGCUGUGAAAUCUGGGGGCUCAACCCCCAGCCUGCAGUGGGUACGGGCAGACUAGAGUGCGGUAGGGGAGAUUGGAAUUCCUGGUGUAGCGGUGGAAUGCGCAGAUAUCAGGAGGAACACCGAUGGCGAAGGCAGAUCUCUGGGCCGUAACUGACGCUGAGGAGCGAAAGGGUGGGGAGCAAACAGGCUUAGAUACCCUGGUAGUCCACCCCGUAAACGUUGGGAACUAGUUGUGGGGUCCAUUCCACGGAUUCCGUGACGCAGCUAACGCAUUAAGUUCCCCGCCUGGGGAGUACGGCCGCAAGGCUAAAACUCAAAGGAAUUGACGGGGACCCGCACAAGCGGCGGAGCAUGCGGAUUAAUUCGAUGCAACGCGAAGAACCUUACCAAGGCUUGACAUAUACGAGAACGGGCCAGAAAUGGUCAACUCUUUGGACACUCGUAAACAGGUGGUGCAUGGUUGUCGUCAGCUCGUGUCGUGAGAUGUUGGGUUAAGUCCCGCAACGAGCGCAACCCUCGUUCUAUGUUGCCAGCACGUAAUGGUGGGAACUCAUGGGAUACUGCCGGGGUCAACUCGGAGGAAGGUGGGGAUGACGUCAAAUCAUCAUGCCCCUUAUGUCUUGGGCUUCACGCAUGCUACAAUGGCCGGUACAAAGGGCUGCAAUACCGCGAGGUGGAGCGAAUCCCAAAAAGCCGGUCCCAGUUCGGAUUGAGGUCUGCAACUCGACCUCAUGAAGUCGGAGUCGCUAGUAAUCGCAGAUCAGCAACGCUGCGGUGAAUACGUUCCCGGGUCUUGUACACACCGCCCGUCAAGUCAUGAAAGUCGGUAACACCUGAAGC